Molecule: ribosomal RNA, 433 nt
Filed under: uncultured bacterium
Lineage: Bacteria
Description: partial 16S ribosomal RNA
Rfam family: Bacterial small subunit ribosomal RNA
Source: RNAcentral
AACGAACGCUGGCGGCAUGCCUAACACAUGCAAGUCGAACGAGACCUUCGGGUCUAGCGGCGCACGGGUGCGUAACGCGUGGGAACCUGCCCUUAGGUUCGGAAUAACUCCCCGAAAGGGGUGCUAAUACCGGAUAAUGUCUUCGGACCAAAGAUUUAUCGCCUUUGGAUGGGCCCGCGUUGGAUUAGCUAGUUGGUAGGGUAAAAGCCUACCAAGGCGACGAUCCAUAGCUGGUCUGAGAGGAUGAUCAGCCACACUGGGACUGAGACACGGCCCAGACUCCUACGGGAGGCAGCAGUGGGGAAUAUUGGUCAAUGGGCGAAAGCCUGAUCCAGCAAUGCCGCGUGAGUGAUGAAGGCCUUAGGGUUGUAAAGCUCUUUUACCCGGGAUGAUAAUGACAGUACCGGGAGAAUAAGCUCCGGCUAACUCCGUG